This is a long non-coding RNA of Arabidopsis lyrata subsp. lyrata, 578 nucleotides long. RefSeq lists it as uncharacterized. The transcript is spliced from 2 exons. Lineage: Eukaryota; Viridiplantae; Streptophyta; Magnoliopsida; Brassicales; Brassicaceae. The record is from RefSeq and is a predicted model, not a curated record.
AGUCUUAUUAGUUCCGUUAACUUUUUGCCAUAUAUGGGCCGUGUGAUUUUACUAAUGGGCUUUAGUGGGAUAGGCCCUUUUCCCUUGUAUAAAGUGAGCCUUGCCUCAUAUCCACCGCCUCCGAUCUCUAGAUUCAUCGAUCCAUUUCCCGCCUCGUUCGUUUCUCCGGUGGCGAUCCUUUCUUUUCUCCGCAUCCAGCGCCUCCGAUCUCUAGAUUCAUCAAUCGAUUUUCCGUUCCGAUGGCUUGUUCAGUGACGACAGGGUACAAGCUCGGCUGCGAGCUUGGCGGCAAUGUUUCUGCGAUGGUUGUGGAGUUGGUCGUCUCGCGUUUUCUGUAGUUAAAUCCACUGAAAAAACAAUUUUAUUGCACUUCACAGUCUAUAAGCGGUUCAUGAAAUUGGUAAGUCGGUGUGCAAAUUUUGGACUAUCACAUAAGCACCUUACGUUAUAUCUAUAUUUUUUCUAUUAACAUUUUAGUGUCAUAUGUAUAUUUUCUAAUCUAUUAUCAAUUUAUAGACGAUGAUUGUUGAGUUGGUCGUAUCGCAUUUUGUAUAGUUAAGUCUAUUAACAAAAAAAAA